GACGAACGCUGGCGGCGUGCUUAAUACAUGCAAGUCGAACGGAAAGGCCCUGCUUUUGUGGCGUGCUCGAGUGGCGAACGGGUGAGUAACACGCGAGUAUCCUGUCCUUGACUUUGGGAUAACUUCAGGAAACUGCGGCUAAUAUCCGAUAGGAUCUCCUGCUCCACGUUGGGGGUUGGAAAGUUUCGGCGGUUGGGGAUGGACUCGCGGCUUAUCAGCCUGUUGGUCGGGUAGUGGCUUACCAAGGCUUUGACGGGUAGCCGGCAUGGGAGGUUGACCGGGCACAAUAGGACUAAGGUAGGCCCCAGACGCCUACGGGAGGCAGCGGUGGGAAAUUUUGCACAACAGGGGCAAGCCUGAUGCGACAACCCCCGGUUCGGGAUGCCGGCCUUCGAGUUGAGAACCGCUUUGGCCGGUGACAAAGCGUGAGUGACGGUACUGAGUAAGAAAGCACCGGCUAACUACGUG
This 468-nucleotide ribosomal RNA is filed under the name uncultured bacterium. Its description in RNAcentral is "partial 16S ribosomal RNA". It matches the Rfam family "Bacterial small subunit ribosomal RNA", at positions 28 to 507 of the family's 1533-position model. The record is from RNAcentral.